Molecule: ribosomal RNA, 490 nt
Filed under: uncultured bacterium
Lineage: Bacteria
Description: bacterial SSU rRNA
Rfam family: Bacterial small subunit ribosomal RNA
Source: RNAcentral
GACGAACGCUGGCGGCGUGCCUAACACAUGCAAGUCGAGCGGAGGUACAAUGAGAGCAAUCGAGAUGUACUUUAGCGGCGGACGGGUGAGUAACGCGUGAGCAACCUGCCUAUCACAGGGGGAUAAGGCGGCGAAAGCCGCUCUAAUACCGCAUGAGACCCUCAAAGCGAUGCAAUGGGGGUGAAAGGAGCGAUCCGGUGAGAGAUGGGCUCGCGUCCGAUUAGGUAGUUGGUAGGGUAAGGGCCUACCAAGCCAAUGAUCGGUAGCCGGCCUGAGAGGGUGAACGGCCACAUUGGAACUGAGAGACGGUCCAAACUCCUACGGGAGGCAGCAGUGGGAUAUUGGGCAAUGGCGAAGCCUGACCCAGCAACGCCGCGUGAGGGAGAAGGUUUCGGAUUGUAAACCUCUGUUCUUGGGGAAGAGGAGGAGACGGUACCCAAGGAGGAAGCCCGGCUAACUACGUGCCAGCAGCGGCGGUAAAGUGUGUGUA